UUAUUAUUAAAUCAUUAGAUUAAAAUAUCCCAGUGAAAGGAACCUAAUAACAUUCAGAAUAGAAUUAUAAUUAUAAUGAGGCUGGUCAUCCAAUGGCUGAAAACAUUGACUACAAAAAUGUGUUGGAUAAUCCAGAACGUUGGAUAAGCGAGUGUUGGAUAAGUGAGACUCUACUGUAUUUCUUCAAAGUUUGCAUUGUUCUCGGUAAGGUCCCUUUUAUGUCCCAUUCUCUCUCCACCGACCCAUGACUAAACUGCUAUCCAUUUAUUUCAGUGCGUAAAGUGAUCCUAAUCUUGUUGUUGCGACUCUCAACAAGUGUGGUGCACGGGAAGAGAUAUCAUUGGAAGCAUUGAGAUUUUAUUUCUCCUGCUUUAUGUGGAUGGAUGUGUGUUCAUGAUCCUAAUCUUGUUGUUGCGACUCUCAACAAGUGUGGUGCACGGGAGGAGAUAUCGUUGAAAGCAUUGAGAUUUUAUUUCUUCUGCUUUAUGUGGAUGGAUAUGUGUUCAUGAUCCUAAUCUUGUUGUUGCGACUCUCAACAAGUGUGGUGCACGGGAAGAGAUAUCAUUGGAAGCAUUGAGAUUUUAUUUCUCCUGCUUUAUGUGGAUGGAUGUGUGUUCAUGAUCCUAAUCUUGUUGUUGCGACUCUCAACAAGUGUGGUGCACGGGAAGAGAUAUCAUUGGAAGCAUUGAGAUUUUAUUUCUCCUGCUUUAUGUGGAUGGAUGUGUGUUCAUGAUCCUAAUCUUGUUGUUGCGACUCUCAACAAGUGUGGUGCACGGGAGGAGAUAUCAUUGGAAGCAUUGAGAUUUUAUUUCUCCUACUUUAUGUGGAUGGAUGUGUGUUCAUGAUCCUAAUCUUGUUGUUGCGACUCUCAACAAGUGUGGUGCACGGGAGGAGAUAUCGUUGGAAGCAUUGAGAUUUUAUUUCUUCUGCUUUAUGUGGAUGGAUAUGUGUUCAUGAUCCUAAUCUUGUUGUUGCGACUCUCAACAAGUGUGGUGCACGGGAGGAGAUAUCAUUGGAAGCAUUGAGAUUUUAUUUCUUCUGCUUUAUGUGGAUGGAUGUGUGUUCAUGAUCCUAAUCUUGUUGUUGCGACUCUCAACAAGUGUGGUGCACGGGAGGAGAUAUCGUUGGAAGCAUUGAGAUUUUAUUUCUUCUGCUUUAUGUGGAUGGAUAUGUGUUCAUGAUCCUAAUCUUGUUGUUGCGACUCUCAACAAGUGUGGUGCACGGGAGGAGAUAUCAUUGGAAGCAUUGAGAUUUUAUUUCUCCUGCUUUAUGUGGAUGGAUAUGUGUUCAUGAUCCUAAUCUUGUUGUUGCGACUCUCAACAAGUGUGGUGCACGGGAGGAGAUAUCAUUGGAAGCAUUGAGAUUUUAUUUCUCCUGCUUUAUGUGGAUGGAUGUGUGUUCAUGAUCCUAAUCUUGUUGUUGCGACUCUCAACAAGUGUGGUGCACGGGAGGAGAUAUCAUUGGAAGCAUUGAGAUUUUAUUUCUCCUGCUUUAUGUGGAUGGAUGUGUGUUCAUGAUCCUAAUCUUGUUGUUGCGACUCUCAACAAGUGUGGUGCACGGGAGGAGAUAUCGUUGGAAGCAUUGAGAUUUUAUUUCUUCUGCUUUAUGUGGAUGGAUGUGUGUGCAUUUACGCAUAGCUGUACAUGCUCACAAAGCAUCCUGCUCUCGCUCGGCUCCCAGUGAGACAAAGCCCAGAGAAAGUGGAUCAAGGCAAACUUUGCUUCACAUCUUCCAGGCCUCGGAUGGGACUUGAAAGGCGCUGCCAGGAGCCACAGAUAGAAAAAGAAGUGAAAGAAAAGAGGAGGAGGGGAAAAAAGAGAGCAACAUCAGGCACGGAGCUCGGAGACGCACCGCCGCAGAAGGUCCUGCUUCAAGGGCCCGGGCUGUGGCGCAGGCGGGAGAGCAAGCCAGCUGCAAUUAACUGCAAUGAAUCACUCUAACCAGGAGGUCAUGAGUUCGAGGCCGCUCGGAGCCUAUGUUUGUUUGUCUUCGUUCUAUGUUGAAAGGCAUUGAAUGUUUGCCUAUAUGUGUAAUGUGAUCCGCCCUGAGUCCCCUUCGGGGUGAGAAAGAAGGGCGGAAUAUAAAUGCUGUAAAUAAAUAAAAUAAAUAGUAUAGACAUUUGUGUGUAUUUAUUAGACAUGUCCAAAAAAUCGUUUUGAAUCGUAUAUCGGAAUUAUUUCGGAUUGUUCUCGCUUUUUGAUACGCAUUCCGAGACAUUGUCUCACAGCGCAACCAGCAAUGUAAUUCGAACCAUUGUUGGCCCAUUCUCUAAUUGUCUCUUAAUGUUUCGUUAAUUCCCCCCCCCCCCCAAUUUUUAAAAAUAUAUUUUUUAAAAUAUUUUUUUAAUUUUUUUUUGUUUCUGCAACCUACCUAGAAUGGGAGCUUAGCGCAGCCUAACAUGGCUGCCGCUACCCGGCCAAUCAGAAGCUUCCACGAUGGACGCAAAGGUGGGGGCUAGGGUUGAUGAGGAUAGCUCAAGAAAUGAGGGCGGGAGAGCCCUGUAAAAGUCCCCCCCCCCGGUUCUUUUUUUUUGUUGGCGAUUGCGCAUGCGCGUCUGCCAUUUUAGAAACAUUUAGAAUCAUUACGAAUUUUUGGAAAUAUCUGAAAUUUUUAGGUGAAAAAAUCGGAAAUACUUUCUAUAUCGAAGCUCCAGUGCCCCCUACUUUAGAAACGAGAAUUGAAACAUUUUUUUCAUCGAUCGGACAUGCCUAGUAUUUAUCAUUAUCUUGCAGAUUCAAAGCCUGGCUCCUUCCUCCCUGGGGGCAUCCUUGGUUGGGAAGUGUUAGCUGGCCUUAUAAUAAUAAUAAUAAAACUUUAUUUAUACCCGCCACCAUCUCCGCGUGGGGACUCGGGGCGGCUUACAUGGGGCAGAGUGUGAUGCCUCAUGGGCCUUGUAGUCCUGUUCCUAGUGCCAUCGUGGCAGAUGAAGACGAAAACAUGGGGUUUUCGCUGGUUCAACAAGAGCCGGAAUCUUUUCACCUGCGGGAUGUUGAUGUUUGUACCCAAGAACUCAGUAAAACAGACCUUGGGCAUUCCUCGCCCCCGUUCCCUAGGAGACAGUCCUAUUCUGCAGACAGAGGAGUGAGGGAACAGAAUCGCAGGAGUUUACGGAUUGCAGCCAAACAACAGGCUGAUUAGACCUGCUUCCCUUGGGAAAUUCUAAGGAGUCUUGCAUCUGGACAAAGUUGGGUUUCGCUUCCCGUUCUCUAGGGAAAGAGGUUGUUGGCAGGAAAACGAGACCCCAAUAUAGGUGCCUGACGCGGGAGAAUCUUUGCGGAGUCAACAGAGCAGCUUCAGGAGUAAGAUCGUGUGUGGACUUCGCAACCCCAGUUCCUUGCUUCCCGGAUCAAGUAUUCAAGAUUUGCCUUGCCUUGUUUUAACCACGGAUCUUGUUCCAAGAAUCACUGUUUGCCUUGUUCCUAGUCACGGACCUUGUUAAAGAAUCAAGAUUGUAUCCAGCCUUGUUGUCAAGCUACCUUGGACUCCUAAGACUCUGGCAUUUCCCCCACACUAUUGCUUGGCAAUAGUGUGUGUUUCGGUUUUGGAUUAAAACUUUGAACUCUAAUAUCAUUUAUUGGACAAUACAUUUUUGGACUAUAUUUGACCUUAUUUGAAAGGUCUGCCUCUGAACUAUAUUCUUCACUUGUUUUUAUUGCUUUUAUAUAUUUACUUAAUAAAGAUAUUAGAUAGAGA
Anolis carolinensis (green anole) is the source of this 3693-nucleotide long non-coding RNA. RefSeq lists it as uncharacterized. The transcript is spliced from 3 exons. The record is from RefSeq and is a predicted model, not a curated record. Lineage: Eukaryota; Metazoa; Chordata; Lepidosauria; Squamata; Anolidae.